GUCUAGGAUACCAUGUUACGUUCUUGUCAUGGAUCCUUUGGCUUCUGUUGACUGUGGCAGUUUCACAGGAUUUCUUUGUUUUGAUGACCUUGACAGUAUUGAGGAAUACCGCUCAGGAAUACUUUGAUGUGACCCAGUGUGUGUUUUCCUUUGAGAUCACCGCAGAGAAGUUGCAAGUGGCAUCACUGCCUCGUACUGGAGAAGCACGUGUGGAUGGGACCACUACAGACCCAGAUGAGAUGGAGCUCUGUUCAGCUUUGGGACAGAAGGUUAAGUAUUAGGUAUUGAUGUCUGCUUCCUGCCUUCCAAAGAUGAGAAAUUGGCUUCUACGACCACAAUGAACAGUGAAGUUGACUUGUGUUCUUCAGUUACUAAGAAAGGUAUUUUUCUGAGCUGACUCUUGUGCGACUUCUAAGUUGUUUCUGGCACUGCUGCUGAGAUUCUCAGAGCUGAUGGGGAGCAGAGUACUCAGCUCCAGGUCCAUAACCAUCUGGCAAGACUCUGCCAGCAAACGCUGAAGCUUGCUUGUGGGCAAAAAGUCAUCCUUGUCACUGGACGAUGGUGCCUCUUUGUUGAAUAACAAAAUCUUAGGUGAGUUCUUUGCAUCUGAAGAGGGCUCUGUCUCUAUCAAUUUCUCAUCCUCUCUAGGAGCAGAUUUUGAAGAACCCGAACAGUGGGAAUGCUGGAUGGCAAUUAGCUCACUCAUGGCGGAGUUGUGCUUCCUCCCACUGGCACUUUCCGAACAAGUACACACAGAUUUGUGGCGAACAGUCCUUUGCACUUUAGAAGGCUUGAAAAUGCUCAUCCACUCCAUGUCAGACAUGGGGCCUGGGCUUCAAUGAUGAAAUUACUCAGGUGGCAGCACUUGGAUUCAUACAUAUCACUCUCCCCCAGACAGGUCUCAUUUUUAUGACAACAGCACAUACCUUUCUAUGUCAUCUUGACUUUCAACAUCCGGCUUUUCUGGUUGUCUGGAACCAGAACAGCUGGCCAGGCCCAGGUACACGUUGACAUCAUGCCACUGUCUCUCAUCAGAUGAUGUGGAUGUUUUGGAGAGUUGUUUCUCUUCAUUCUGAAUCCCGAUCCCAUUACCUUUUGGUGACUUUGCAUGGAUCUUGCACAAUCUACUUUGGUUUUCCGGUUUGAUCUGCAUUUUCUCUCCCAAAGACCAAGACUUUUGCUUCUCCAGUAAGUCUUUUGUAAACAGAGAUGAGAUAGCAAAUACACUUUUUUUCCCAAAUGAAGGAUUACCUGUCGCUUCUACUCUUUGCACACAUCACAGGGGCUCCUGUCUGACCGAUUUUGUGGGAACAUGGUCUCAAAUUUUGCAUCUUUAACCAAUGACCUCUGAUUUUUCUCCCUCUUGAUGUCGACUUUCAGGCAGUGAUUCUCAAGGUCUGACAAACACAUGUCUCUGCUGGACUCCAGAACCUUUGAUUCCUCCAUCUUUGAGUCAUAAAUCUGUAUUAAUUCCUGAUAAUUUUCCACAUUAAAAUUAAGAAACUGCAGAUCACUCUGUUGUUUUACAUAAAUCUGUCUCAGAUUAUGGAGUUCUGCGUUUGUGUGCUCUUGCUUUGACUUUGCAAUAUCAAGUAACUCAUCUUUCCUUUUUUCUCUCUCUGCUUUCAGUUUAUUGACUUCAACUUUAAGUGUCUUCGAUUUCUUUUUUUUUAAAUU
Long non-coding RNA from Neogale vison (American mink), 1677 nucleotides. RefSeq lists it as uncharacterized. NCBI's taxonomy places the organism in Eukaryota, Metazoa, Chordata, Mammalia, Carnivora, Mustelidae. The record is from RefSeq and is a predicted model, not a curated record. The transcript is spliced from 4 exons.